This is a non-coding RNA of Erythranthe guttata (spotted monkey flower), 547 nucleotides long. The record is from RefSeq and is a predicted model, not a curated record. Lineage: Eukaryota; Viridiplantae; Streptophyta; Magnoliopsida; Lamiales; Phrymaceae.
GAACUCUUGGAUCAAAGAGAGAGUGGCUAAGGGCCAAUCGAAGAGGAAAAUAUGCUUCUAUUCAACAUGAUGCUAAAUUUCUUCGAGGAAGAAAAAUGUUGCUAGAACUGGAUGAAGAAAAUGCCCAGAACAAGGAUGAAAUGUUGAAUCAAAACGUGGUUUAUAAGCACGAUUAUCACGUUACUAAGAAAAAGAACGAAUCAAAAUAUUUUCUCGAGGCAGCUGAUGAGGUGGCAAAGUUGAUGGUCAAGGACUACGGACAUGGCACGAAGCCUCGACGAAAGCCACCAAUCAACAAUCACGAGCCGAAAGAUUAAGGAAACUAAACUUAUUCCUUAAUUAAACGAUGUAGUCAAUUAAACUUAUUCCUUAACUAAACUUAUCCCACAAGUGAAGUCAUCCCCCCAAAUAUAUAAAUGUAGUGAAACUUGUUAUAGUAUUGUACAUUAUACAUUACCUUUAGUUAUGCAAUAUUAUUCAAACUUGUAACACUAGAUCUUUAAUAUUUUUCGGAAUACAAACGGAAGAACCGUUGAAACAAAGUGAA